This 253-nucleotide ribosomal RNA is filed under the name uncultured bacterium. Its description in RNAcentral is "partial 16S ribosomal RNA". It matches the Rfam family "Bacterial small subunit ribosomal RNA", at positions 524 to 776 of the family's 1533-position model. The record is from RNAcentral.
UACGGAGGAUGCAAGCGUUAUCCGGAAUGAUUGGGCGUAAAGCGUCCGCAGGUGGCUAUGUAAGUCUGCUGUUAAAGAGUGAGGCUCAACCUCAUAAGAGCAGUGGAAACUACAUGGCUAGAGUGCGUUCGGGGCAGAGGGAAUUCCUGGUGUAGCGGUGAAAUGCGUAGAGAUCAGGAAGAACACCGGUGGCGAAGGCGCUCUGCUAGGCCGUAACUGACACUGAGGGACGAAAGCUAGGGGAGCGAAUGGG